This is a small nuclear RNA of Phodopus roborovskii (desert hamster), 164 nucleotides long. RefSeq annotates it as U1 spliceosomal RNA. Lineage: Eukaryota; Metazoa; Chordata; Mammalia; Rodentia; Cricetidae. The transcript has a single exon. The record is from RefSeq and is a predicted model, not a curated record.
AUACUUACCUGGCAGCAGAAAUACCAUGAUCACAAAUGUGGUUUUCCCAGGGUGAGCCCUACCCAUCGCACUCUGGAUAUACUGACAUUUGCAGUUUCCCCAAAUGGGAGAAACUCAACUGCAUAAUUUGUGGUAGUGGGGGACUGUGUUCGUGCUCUCCCCAG